UACGUAGGGGGCAAGCGUUGCCCGGAUUUAUUGGGCGUAAAGAGCGUGUAGGCGGCUUGGUAGGUCUUGCGUCAAAACCUGAGGCUCAACCUCAGUUCGCGUGGGAAACCAUCUAGCUAGAGUCCGGAAGAGGAGAACGGAAUUCCCAGUGUAGCGGUGAAAUGCGCAGAUAUUGGGAAGAACACGAGUGGCGAAGGCGGUUCUCUGGGACGGUACUGACGCUGAGACGCGAAAGCGUGGGGAGCGAACAGG
This 252-nucleotide ribosomal RNA is filed under the name uncultured bacterium. Its description in RNAcentral is "partial 16S ribosomal RNA". It matches the Rfam family "Bacterial small subunit ribosomal RNA", at positions 524 to 776 of the family's 1533-position model. The record is from RNAcentral.